RNAcentral lists this ribosomal RNA (374 nucleotides) under uncultured bacterium. Its description in RNAcentral is "partial 16S ribosomal RNA". It matches the Rfam family "Bacterial small subunit ribosomal RNA", at positions 338 to 729 of the family's 1533-position model. The record is from RNAcentral.
CCUACGGGCGGCAGCAGUGGGGAAUAUUGCACAAUGGGGGCAACUCUGAUGCAGCGAUGCCGCGUGCGUGAAGAAGUAUCUAUGUAUGUAAAGCUCUAUCUGCAGGGAAGUAAAUGACGGUACCUGAUUCAGACGCCCAGGCUAACUACGGGCCAGCAGCCGCGGUAAUAUGCAGGGGGCCAGCGUUAUCCGGAUUUACUGGGUGUUAUCGGAGCGUAGUCGGUAGGACAAGUCAGAAGUGAAAUGCCGAGGCUGAACCCCGGAACUGCUUUGGAAACUGUGGAGCUAGAGAGCAGGAGAGGUAAGUGGAAUGCCUGGUGUAGCGGUGAAAUGCGUAGAGAUUAGGAGGAACACCAGUUGCGAAGGCGGCUUAC